This is a long non-coding RNA of Hypomesus transpacificus, 186 nucleotides long. RefSeq lists it as uncharacterized. The record is from RefSeq and is a predicted model, not a curated record. The transcript has 3 exons. Lineage: Eukaryota; Metazoa; Chordata; Actinopteri; Osmeriformes; Osmeridae.
GUGGAUCAUAUGGCGCCCCCAAACGAAUCCUCACAGACCGGGGCAAAGAAUUUGUGAACAAAAUCAACUUGGACUUGUGUGAAAAACUUGGUAUAGUCAGAAGCUUAUGUGCACCAUACCACCCUCAAACAAAUGGUUUGGUUGAAAAGCUCAAUGGCACCAUUCAGGGGGCUUUGAAAAAAAUGG